CGCGGUAAUACGGAAGGUCCGGGCGUUAUCCGGAUUUAUUGGGUUUAAAGGGAGCGUAGGCCGGAGAUUAAGCGUGUUGUGAAAUGUAGACGCUCAACGUCUGCACUGCAGCGCGAACUGGUUUCCUUGAGAUACGCACAAAGUGGGCGGAAUUCGUGGUGUAGCGGUGAAAUGCUUAGAUAUCACGAAGAACUCCGAUUGCGAAGGCAGCUCACUGGAGCGCAACUGACGCUGAAGCUCGAAAGUGCGGGUAUCGAACAGGAUUAGAUACCCUGGUAGUCCGCACGGUAAACGAUGGAUGCCCGCUGUUGGCCUGAAUAGGUCAGCGGCCAAGCGAAAGCAUUAAGCAUCCCACCUGGGGAGUACGCCGGCAACGGUGAAACUCAAAGGAAUUGACGGGGGCCCGCACAAGCGGAGGAACAUGUGGUUUAAUUCGAUGAUACGCGAGGAACCUUACCCGGGCUUGAAUUGCAGAGGAAGGAUUUGGAGACAAUGACGCCCUUCGGGGCCUCUGUGAAGGUGCUGCAUGGUUGUCGUCAGCUCGUGCCGUGAGGUGUCGGCUUAAGUGCCAUAACGAGCGCAACCCCUCUCCUCAGUUGCCAUCAGGUCAUGCUGGGCACUCUGGGGACACUGCCACCGUAAGGUGUGAGGAAGGUGGGGAUGACGUCAAAUCAGCACGGCCCUUACGUCCGGGGCUACACACGUGUUACAAUGGCAGGUACAGAGAGACGGUCCCUUGCAAAAGGGAUCAAAUCCUCAAAGCCUGUCUCAGUUCGGACUGGGGUCUGCAACCCGACCCCACGAAGCUGGAUUCGCUAGUAAUCGCGCAUCAGCCAUGG
This 839-nucleotide ribosomal RNA is filed under the name uncultured Bacteroidota bacterium. RNAcentral describes it as "bacterial SSU rRNA". It matches the Rfam family "Bacterial small subunit ribosomal RNA", at positions 516 to 1357 of the family's 1533-position model. Lineage: Bacteria; Pseudomonadati; Bacteroidota. The record is from RNAcentral.